RNAcentral lists this ribosomal RNA (253 nucleotides) under uncultured bacterium. Its description in RNAcentral is "partial 16S ribosomal RNA". It matches the Rfam family "Bacterial small subunit ribosomal RNA", at positions 524 to 776 of the family's 1533-position model. The record is from RNAcentral.
UACAGAGGUCUCAAGCGUUGUUCGGAUUCAUUGGGCGUAAAGGGUGCGUAGGUGGCAUGGUAAGUCGGGUGUGAAAUCCCGGGGCUCAACCCCGGAACUGCACUCGAUACUACCGUGCUCGAGUACUGGAGAGGAGACUGGAAUUUACGGUGUAGCAGUGAAAUGCGUAGAUAUCGUAAGGAAGACCGGUGGCGAAGGCUAGUCUCUGGGCCUUACCUGACGCUGAGGAGCGAAAGCGUGGGGAGCGAACAGG